RNAcentral lists this transfer RNA (66 nucleotides) under Hydroporus melanarius. Its description in RNAcentral is "tRNA-Pro". RNAcentral also lists the same sequence under 1 other name. Lineage: Eukaryota; Metazoa; Arthropoda; Insecta; Coleoptera; Dytiscidae. The record is from RNAcentral.
CAGAGAAUAGUUUAAUUAAAAUAUUAAUUUUGGAGAUUAAUGAUAAAAGUAUAAUUUUUUCUCUGA